AUCCUGCUGGAGUGAGUCAGCAGAUUUCCAUAGAGCAUGACUUUGCAUCAGCAGCACCAUGCUCCAGUGCUCUGGGAGAGUUUAUAGUCCUGAGAGUUGAAGACUGGAUGACUGACAGCUGUCCUUCAUCACAACAGAAGACUUGGAAAUCCUCCUGAUCAAAACCAUGACUUUGAUCUGCGUCCUCAUCUGGACUCUCCUCUGCUUCACUCAGGGGUCUGAUGGACAACAUGUUAUAACUCAGUCAGCAGCCAGAUCAGUGCAGCUUGGUCAGACUGUCUCUGUGGACUGUAAAGUCAGUCCACCAGCAGCCUUUGCUGGUUUUCAACACUUCCGGUAUCUUUCCUGGUACCACCAGACACCUGGAGAAGCUCCUAAACUCCUGAUUUAUUUAACAUCAAGCAGAUUUUCAGGAAUCUCCUCUAGAUUCAGUGGAAGUGGAUCAGGGAAUGGAGCUGACUUCACUCUGACCAUCAGUGGAGUUCAGGCUGAAGAUGCAGGAGUUUAUUACUGUCUGGGUUUUCAACAUGGCUAUGUGUUCACACAGUGA
This is a non-coding RNA of Nothobranchius furzeri (turquoise killifish), 550 nucleotides long. NCBI's taxonomy places the organism in Eukaryota, Metazoa, Chordata, Actinopteri, Cyprinodontiformes, Nothobranchiidae. The record is from the annotation of a RefSeq genome assembly.